GGGCCCAUAGCUUAAUGGAUAGAGUCCAGGAUUCCGGUUCCUGUGGUUCGGGUUCGACUCCCGAUGGGCCCU
Molecule: transfer RNA, 72 nt
Filed under: Candidatus Omnitrophota bacterium
Lineage: Bacteria; Pseudomonadati; Candidatus Omnitrophota
Description: tRNA-Arg
Rfam family: tRNA
About the family: Transfer RNA (tRNA) molecules are approximately 80 nucleotides in length. Their secondary structure includes four short double-helical elements and three loops (D, anti-codon, and T loops).
Source: RNAcentral